Molecule: ribosomal RNA, 1300 nt
Filed under: seawater metagenome
Description: bacterial LSU rRNA
Rfam family: Bacterial large subunit ribosomal RNA
Source: RNAcentral
GGACCCGAACCCGGGUGAUCUAACCAUGGUCAGGUUGAAGCUUAGGUAAUACUAAGUGGAGGACCGAACCGACUGAUGUUGAAAAAUCAGCGGAUGAAUUGUGGUUAGGGGUGAAAUGCCAAUCGAACUCGGAGCUAGCUGGUUCUCCCCGAAAUGCGUUUUGGCGCAGCGGUAGAUGUUAUAGCUUAGGGGUAAAGCACUGUUACGUAUGCGGGCUGGUAAUUCGGUACCAAAUCGUUGCAAACUAAGAAUACUAAGUGUACAGUCUACCAGUAAGACUGUGGGGGAUAAGCUCCAUUGUCAAGAGGGAAACAGCCCAGAGCACCAGUUAAGGCCCUUAAAUAAUUACUAAGUGAUAAAGGAGGUGGGAGUGCAUAAACAAUCAGGAGGUUUGCUUAGAAGCAGCAAUCCUUUAAAGAGUGCGUAAUAGCUCACUGAUCGAGUAAACCUGCGCCGAAAAUGAACGGGACUAAGUAAUUUGCCGAAACUGUGCGAUAUAUUUAAAUAUAUCGGUAGGGGAGCGUUCUGUUGUAGGUCGAAGUAUUAGCGUAAGCGGAUAUGGACGAAGCAGAAGUGAGAAUGUCGGCUUGAGUAACGAAAAUAUAGGUGAGAAUCCUAUACCCCGAAAACCCAAGGUUUCCUCCGGAAGGCUCGUCCGCGGAGGGUAAGUCAGGACCUAAGGCGAGGCUGAAAAGCGUAGUCGAUGGACAACUGGUUAAUAUUCCAGUACCAUUUUUUAUUGACAACGAGGGACGGAGAAGGUUAAGCCAGCCGGAUAUUGGUUACCGGUUUAAGCGUUCGAGAUGUUGAGAAGCGGCGAAAACGCUUUGAGUUGAGACGUGAGUACGAGACGCUAAGGCGUCGAAGUGGUGUAUAUCAGACUUCCAAGAAAAGCUUGCACUGUCAUAAAUAAAGAAUGCCUGUACCAUAACCGACACAGGUGGGUAGGUAGAGUAUACUAAGGGGCGCGAGAUAACUCUCUCUAAGGAACUCGGCAAAAUAACUCCGUAACUUCGGGAGAAGGAGUGCCUUAUUUAUAAGGCUGCAAUAACAAGAUCCAAGCAACUGUUUAUCAAAAACACAGGUCUCCGCUAAGUCGUAAGACGAUGUAUGGGGGCUGACGCCUGCCCAGUGCCAGAAGGUUAAAGAAGUUGGUUAGCAUUAGCGAAGCUGAUAACUGAAGCCCUGGUGAACGGCGGCCGUAACUAUAACGGUCCUAAGGUAGCGAAAUUCCUUGUCGGGUAAGUUCCGACCCGCACGAAAGGCGUAAUGAUUUGGAUACUGUCUCGGAGAGGGGCUC